This 406-nucleotide ribosomal RNA is filed under the name uncultured bacterium. RNAcentral describes it as "partial 16S ribosomal RNA". It matches the Rfam family "Bacterial small subunit ribosomal RNA", at positions 30 to 526 of the family's 1533-position model. The record is from RNAcentral.
AUUGAACGCUGGCGGCAGGCCUAACACAUGCAAGUCGAGCGAGCGGCGGACGGGUGAGUAAUGUAUGGGGAACUGCCUGAUGGAGGGGGAUAACUACUGGAAACGGUAGCUAAUACCGCAUACCAUCAGAUGAACCCAUAUGGGAUUAGCUAGUAGGUGGGGUAAAGGCUCACCUAGGCGACGAUCUCUAGCUGGUCUGAGAGGAUGACCGGCCACACUGGUACUGAGACACGGCCCAGACUCCUACGGGAGGCAGCAGUGGGGAAUAUUGCACAAUGGGCGCAAGCCUGAUGCAGCCAUGCCGCGUGUAUGAAGAAGGCCUUCGGGUUGUAAAGUACUUUCAGCGGGGAGGCGUUACCCGCAGAAGAAGCACCGGCUAACUCCGUGCCAGCAGCCGCGGUAAUAC